GACCUGAAGUGAGGUGAGAGGACCGGCCGAAUUUAAGCAUAUUAAUAAGCCGAGGAAAAGAAACUAACAAGGAUUCCCCUAGUAACGGCGAGUGAAGCGGGAAGAGCUCAAGUUGAUAAGCGUUGUCACUUGUGGCAUCGCGUUGUAAACUGAUGAGCGUGGGUCAGUGGUGGACCUGGGGGCAGGUUGUUUGGAACAACGCGUUAUAAAGGGUGAGAACCCCGUACAGACCCCGGAGAUCCCCACGUACGACUACGUUUCGAAGAGUCGUGUUGUUUGGGAUUGCAGCACUAAUUGGGAGGUAAGCUUCUUCCAAAGCUAAAUAUCAGCCGGAGACCGAUAGCGAACAAGUACCGUGAGGGAAAGAUGAAAAGAACUUUGGAAAGAGAGUUAAAAAGUACCUGAAAUUGCUAAGGGGGAAGUGAUGGAAAGUAACAUUGUAGGUUCAGUUCUAGGUUCGUCUGCUAUAUCCGUCGCGUGUCUAACCGGCCGCAUGGUGGCAAAGGCGGUCUGAUUGGCUGGAUUUGCUGUGUCAGCUUGGCUUUUCUUCGUGGGAUAAUGCCUAGUCUUUUGACGACGGCGACUGCCAUGUUGGGGAGUUUUCUUUUAAAAGCUGGCGAAAUGGUUUUCAUCGACCCGUCUUGAAACACGGACCAAGGAGUCUAACAUGUGUGCGAGUGUUUGGGUGGUAAACCCUGACGCGGAAUGAAAGUGAAAGGGUGGGUUCACCACCGACCGGCCGUGGCUUGCCAUUGGUCUGAGUAAGAGCAGAUAUGUUGGGACCCGAAAGAUGGUGAACUAUGCCUGAACAGGGUGAAGCCAGGGGAAACUCUGGUGGAGGCUCGUAGCGAUACUGACGUGCAAAUCGUUCGUCUGAUUUGGGUAUAGGGGCGAAAGACUAAUCGAACCAUCUAGUAGCUGGUUUCCUCCGAAGUUUCCCUCAGGAUAGCUGGAGCUUGUAGUACAGUUUUAUCAGGUAAAGCUAAUGAUUAGAGGAUGUUGAGUUGAAACAACUUGCACCUAUUCUCAAACUUUAAAUAGGUAAGAAGCCGUUUGAUUUUAUUCUUGAUUGAUCAUCGGCCUCGAAUGGAAGCUCUUAGUGGGCCAUUUUUGGUAAGCAGAACUGGCGAUGCGGGAUGAACCGGACGUUUGGUUAAGGUGCCCAACUGGUCACUCAUCUAGAUACCAUAAAAGGUGUUGGUUGAUCUGGACAGCAGGACGGUGGUCAUGGAAGUCGAAAUCCGCUAAGGAGUGUGUUACAACUCACCUGCCGAACCAGUAGGCCCCGAAAAUGGAUGACGCUCAAGCGUGUGACUUAGACUCGACCGUGAGCGCGAACGUUGCUCUCACGGGUAGGAGGGCGUGGGUGUUGCUUCGAAGCCAUGGCGUAAGCCUCGGUGGAGCGGCGCCUAGUGCAGAUCUUGGUGGGAGUAGCGAAUAUUCAAAUGAGAACUUUGAAGACUGAAGUGGAGAAAGGUUCCAUGU
This 1485-nucleotide ribosomal RNA is filed under the name Bigelowiella natans. RNAcentral's name for it is "partial Eukaryotic large subunit ribosomal RNA". It matches the Rfam family "Eukaryotic large subunit ribosomal RNA", at positions 1 to 1514 of the family's 3401-position model. Lineage: Eukaryota; Cercozoa; Chlorarachniophyceae. The record is from RNAcentral.